AUUAUACAUUGGUGCCAAGUAA
RNAcentral lists this microRNA (22 nucleotides) under Magallana gigas (Pacific oyster). RNAcentral's name for it is "Mgi-Mir-96-P1i_3p* (star (passenger))". The record is from RNAcentral. Lineage: Eukaryota; Metazoa; Mollusca; Bivalvia; Ostreida; Ostreidae.